Molecule: long non-coding RNA, 12763 nt
Organism: Brassica rapa (field mustard)
Lineage: Eukaryota; Viridiplantae; Streptophyta; Magnoliopsida; Brassicales; Brassicaceae
Source: RefSeq, a predicted model, not a curated record
UUUGGAAAGUUUUCAUUUUUUUGAGAAAUAUUGUAGAUUUGGGUUUGUGAUUUAGAAAUUAGGAUAACAAGAAUAUUUGUAGAUAGAUGAGUAUUCUUUAAGAAUUUUUCAGCAAUAUGUUGUAUUCUUAAAUAAUUUUCUUAAAAAUUGCUAUUUUUGGAAAGUUUUCAUUUUUUGAGAAAUAUUGUAGAUUUGGGUUUGUGAUUUAGAAAUUAGAAUAACAAGAAUGUUUGUAGAUAGAUAAGUAUUCUUUGAGACAUUUUCAGCAAUUAAAGCUAUAAAGCUAUAAUGGUAUUCUAUUGUAGAUAAAUUAGAAUAACAAGAAUCUCCUACCUAGUCUAUUUUUUAUUUUAAAAUAGAAUUUUGAAAAAUGCUAUAAUGGUAUUCUAUUUUCCACAAAACAGGUUUAUAUAUAGAGUAAAUUAUUUAUUUUUUGUUCGAUCACUUCAUUUUCAAUCUAAAAUAGAGUACCAUUGGAGCAUCAUCUAACUCUAUUAUAGUUACAAAACAAAAAAUUGUUAUUAGCUUUAAACUAAUAGUUGCUCCAAUCGAAUAACGAUUUUUGUUUUAACUAAAUUAAAAUUAGCUUAUUAUAUUCUUAACUUUAGGUAAUUUAGUUCACUCUUUUAUAUAUACUAGGAACAGAGCCCCCGUGCAAGCGCGAGGUUGUUGAUUAUUAAAUGUGUUGUAAUACUUUAAAAAUGUUAUAGAAGGUGUUGUGGAGUGAUUUUUUUUUUGUUAAGCCGUAGUGGUUUAUAAUAGAUCGCAAGCGCGGGGUUUCUUUGCAUUGUGUUUCCUUUGUAGAUUGAUGUCUAAUUUAGUGUAUGUGUUAACAUUAUGAUUUCUGUUUCGACCAUCCUUCACUCUAUGGUCCAAUUUUUUUGUAUUUUUCUUUUAUUUUGUUUCAUUUCUAUAGUCUAUUACUUCUCUCCUUUCUGUAUCCAUUUUUAUUGUUUGAUUGUUCAUGUUUAAAAUUAUGUCAUUUUUUUUUUCAAAUUUACCCUAUGAAAAAUAUCGGUAUUAGUAGCACAACGAAAAUGCGACAUACGGUUCUCAUAGCGUUUCUAUAAACGCUAUGACAGCCGCAGCUAUGAUAGACGUCCCCUCUAUCAUAGCGUUUGUAUAUGCUAAGAUAAGUAGAGAUAUUAUAGCGUUUAUUCGUGUACUAUAAAUUAAUAUUUUAUAACAUUUAAAUUUGGGCUAUGAUAUUCGUUUUCAUGGAUUUUUUAAUGCUGUAAAAUAUUUUUAAUAACAUAAAUAAAAUGCUAUAAUUAAGAAUAAAACAUUAAAAAUUAAAUUAAUUUUAGGACCAUAUAAGAUAACUUUGGGCGGGGUCAUUUCCUAGAACUUAUCAGGUUUCCUUCUAGCAUCGAAGAAUAUUAUUUUGUAGUAAACAAAAAAAAGAAAAUCAUUACUAAUUUUAUUUUUUACUAAAAAAUGGAGUAUAAUUGAAACAUUUCUUAUAUAAAACUUUAUUUUAGAAUAAGAAAUAGAGUGAGGUAAGAUCUAUUAAUAUUCUUCGGUUUAAAAUCUAGUAUAUUGAUUCAACCGUAGAAAAUAGUAACUGGAGUGACCAAUUUUUAAAGAUUGUGAAAAUAUCGCUAUAUGUGUUACAAAAAAAAAAAUAUCGCUAUACAACAAAAAAAAAACUACAUAUUGCUGCUUCUUAGAGGAUGCAUUAAAGUUUUUAAUAAAAAAAAUAUAGAGUGGAGUUGAAAAUGCUCUAAGCAUUUGUAUAUAAGUCUUAACUUUCAUCAUUUAGUGAGUAAGAGCAUAUAAGUUUUAACUUUCAUCAUUUAGUGAUUAAGAGAAUAGUUAGAAGAUAAAUAUAUUUGAAUAUAUAUAUUGUUAAAGUGUUCAACUGAUUUAAACUUUGUUUUUGCUUUAAAAUCAUUGAAAUCCAAGUAAAAGAUAUUCUUUUAUACACUUUUAACUUCUUCCAUUAAGGGUUAGGGGAGUUCCAAACAAUAUUUAAAACAUGAAUAUAUGAUUGUAAUAAAGUGAUUAAUGUAUAAAUUCUAGUUUUGAAGUUUUUUUUCUUCUCCCUAAUCAUAAAUAAUUGAUCUUAAUUAACUAAAUAUUCAAAACACAUCAGUUUCUUGGGUCAAAGCAAUCGUUUGAGUGAUGUGACGUGUGUUACUCUGUUUCCUCAUAAAUUCUAUCACUCUUUUCUUUCAAUCCACGCUUCUUGCUUUUACUAUCUUAUUUGAACCACUUCGUUUUUGUUACAUGCAUGUUCCUGUGAAUUCUAAUGAGCACCAUCGGUACAAUUCUAUAGAGUAUAGUUGUGACUCGUGAGGUUUCUUCUAGUUCCACAACUUAGGAUCAUAAGCGAUUAAAAUCAGUAAACCAAAACUAAGCACAUAGUCAUGUCCUAUUCGAUUUCCUUACAUUAUCCUUGCAAGACGCAAGAGAAUCUCCCUAGUCAGUAUCUGUUCAGCUCUGUUCCUCCAGAUUUUGUUAUUCAUUAACUUGUAUCUUUGAACCUUUCUUCUUCUCCUCUAAAGAUAAUUCGGCCAGCCAAUGGCUCUGUCUCUGCUUUCUCUGGAGCUUCUCUCCUCUGCUACCAAUGUUAUCUCUCUGUCACCAUUCCUGCGUAUCUACUUGAGCGCCUCUGUUUCUCUUAUUAGUUGAAGAAAAUAUAAAAAGCACCAAUAAGAGAAACCUCUAGUGAGAAAAUAAUCAACAUCAUGGACAAUUGCCCAAAGUAUCAGCAACAUUUAAAUUCUAAAAAGUAGUGAAUUCUUGUGAAGCAAGUCAGACCCAAUUUAAGUAGACCAAAGGAAAUGCCUUUUUUUACAUUAGAAGAAAAACAGUGAGCGAAACACAGAGGAUAUGCUCAUCGAGCCGAAGAAGAGGUUAAAAGGUAAUAGAUCCAAACGCAUCCAAUAACGUCAAUGUCAUUGUAAAAUACAAACCCAUAAAUCAUCGUUCAGUAGACUAACAAAGGGUAUGAGGAAAGAAAGAGAGAAUAUCAUACACUGGUUAUUCUGUUCUUCAUUCUUCGGGAAGAAAGAGUCACUCCCAUCAAGUUGUGUAGAUGGAAAACCCAAUCUAUGAAGCCUCUCAUUUUACCUGCACAGCAAAAAGGACAACGCUGACGUAGCUUCCAUGAAAUGCAGGAACUACAAAAGGCUAAAGGUUGGUUAACACAGUUGCAAACGAUACUUCUUUUGAGCUAAAUAUCUAUAGAACAAAUGACAGUGUCAUGAUUGCAUCUUAUUAGUGAUAGGACCGUACUAUAUAAACUACGGAGAGCUGAAUAUUGUAAAUAAUAAAAUUGAUAAAAGUAUACCAAAGAUUAAGAAAAAGAUGAUACAACUGCAGAGGCGAGAUAUUAUCUCUUUCCUUAACUCAAAAUACGUCCCGUAGUGCGACGGUUUGAUAACGUAAUGAGUCCCAAGAUACAACUGCAAAAAAUCUUCUGAUUUGCGUCACUCUAUCAGAAGCCUGGCGAAACUAGUUUUGUGUAUACUCUCAGACUCAAAAGAACAAAUCAGAGAAAAAAGAAAAAAUGGAGAAUUGUUAUUUUGCCGUGUAAUGAAAACUGCACAAGUGAUCUCUUUUUAUAACUUGAAGAGAAAGUACACGUUAUGCAAAUAAAAGGAGUCAACUAACAUACAUAUCAAUUAUUAUUAUGGAAUUGAUUUCCAAGAUCUCGUACGUUAGUUUGCAAAGUAAUAUUGUGACUUUGACCAAGUCAUCAAACUUAAAAAUACUUUGCUUGGGUUUAUCAAGAAUAAAAUUAACUAAAUAAGUUAAUUGACAUAAUGUCUCAUUAACAAAUUUAAAUUUAAACUCUAACCCAAAUAUCCAAAGUGAUCCAUUUGCUAAAUCUUUUAUACUUAGCCAAAUUUAAAACUUUAUACAUCACUCACUUUGGACCUCCAUUUCUCAUUCAACACAACUCCGAUUUUGACCAACAAAUACACUAACGCAUAGUGUUCACGGUGACGAUUGCAUCGUGCCCAAAUUCCGGUCUUUCCGACAGACGUCUCCGUCGAAAAACCCAUCGGAAAAAUGGUCCACACCACUUUGUCAAAAACGAGUUCCAACAAUUAGCUGAAAAAGAAACCCAGUUCCCCAGAUUUCAUGAAUCUAUGUUCAGCAAGUGGGCUCGUUGGAACAUUGUAACCUGAGAACUGCAAUGAGUCGUGCGAAAAAUGAAAGAGAAUCCAAUGAAUAAGAAGAAGAUAGUCUAAUUCUCUACCGCACAAUACUCUUUUUUUAGCAUAUUACCGCACAGUACUCAAAACUGUAUCAUCUGUGGGAGAAAAGAGGUUGAAUUGAAGGAACUAAGACAGUCCAAGGCAAAAGAAAAUCUCUGCAGUUUCAGGUUUUGGAAUAAGUUAGUUCUAAAAGCUUGUUCCUAUUUACAUUUGGUGGUUAAAAACUGCAGGUGUCAAAGUCUGUACUCAGACGUAUGCGGUUUCUUGAGAUUAAGAUUGAAGAGUUAAUGAACAUUCUAAGAGCUAUACCGGGAUGCUGGAGAUAGGGGUCAACUGAAAUCAUCUUUGUGAACCAAAUAGCCCAACCCCAUCUCUUCUUUCAGGUGCUUCAAUAAAAUAAGACACAGAAUCAAUAAAAGUAAACACUAACAUAAUAAUCUUGCAUGUUGAUCUAAAAUCAAGCUUUAACAUCAUAGGAUAAAUUUUACUAUGAAACUGCAUAUGCUUACUCUUUAAACUGUAGAUGCACCAAGACUCGCCAACUUGCUCUGUCCAUUCCGUCAAGAACCGGCCGUUGGUGGAGAGGCUGCUCAUUGGUGAGCGUCAUAGUCACCUCUUGGGCGGCUCAAAAUAUUUUAAUGAAUGGAAACUGAAUCUAUCUGAGUCAAUCACCACCUGGUUUUCUUGAAACGGAGUUGUGUGUUAAACAAAUGGAGAGACUGUGACAGUCAAACAAAUGGUACAACAAUACCCUUUGGUAAAUGAAAGAAGUUAGUCACUGGAUUUGGAAUUUGAGACGGAACAUAAUCGGAAGAGGACAAUGAUUUCAUACCUGUUCAAUACUAAUAAGCAUACCCCCUCUGGAUGUGUUUCGUGCUUCCCAUAAGUGUACUAACCGGAAACCUAGCUCCACCUCUCCCAAACCACGAGUGACGUUGUUGAAGAUCAGAGUUUUGUGGGUUCCAGCAAUCGCAUACCACACUUCAACCUUAUCGAAACAAAAGAAAAAAAAUUGUGAGAAUCUGUAAGACUGGAUCAAAUGAAUCGACAUCAAAACUAAAAGGCUACGGCUUUUCAAAUGGGUUAUCAACACCAUUGAAGAAAAAAAGAAAUUGAUCAUCGCCAUAACUUUAGAUUUGAACUACAGAGACUUGCCGAUAGAGGCAUGGGACUUUCGGUUUGAUUUUGUUGACAGAGCUUUCGAUUUUUCGCUGGACGCUUUUGGGUUUGCUUGCUUGUAAGUAAGUUCAGACGAGGCGGUUGAGCAAUCUUUAUAUGAGGAUAAGGAGAGGGAGGUGGAACGAAACUACAAAGGAAUUAGUAAGCACCAUUGAUUAAUCAAGAAGAGCUCACCGUAACGGACAUCAGGGAGAACCGAGAUGGUGAAGACGAAGUGGAACGCAAUCGAUGCGUCAGAUAGUAUGAUUAUUGUUUGUUGGGUUCGACCUAGGAUCGAGUUAAUUUUUUACGACACUUUAAGCCCAUUUCUCUCUUUCCUUACGUGGUCAAAUAACUGUUUUUCAUUGGUCAAUUUUUUAAUCCUACGUGGAUGGUCUUUCCUUUGAGUAUAUUUGCCUUUUAGUAUAGGUUAGAUAUAUAUAUAUGUAUAUAUUGUAAAUUUUUAUAAUUUAUAUAUAUAUAUAUUGUUAGUCAUCGCAUCAUUUAUCAAAACACUGAAGGCACCAUCAGAUAAGUGAAUAGCUUUGCAUCCUCUGUUAGUGCUAGCAACCAAACAACCCUCCGUCAUCGCCAUCGGGACAGAGUACUCUCUCCGGUGAUCCCAACCGUUUGUGGGGUCAUGAAAAUUUACUUCAAUCGUUUAAUGUUUUUUUUUUUGUGAGAGAGAAGAUGAUUUGGUCUUCAUCUCAAUCUUGCUAACUACUUCUCCUAUAUUUUCUUAAUCAAUUAUUAGUAGUUGAAAUUAAUUAAUAUUCCUUUUAGAGUUAUUCCCUUAGUAUAAGAGUUUACAUACUUAUGCCUCUGUUAGUUUAUUACUAGUACUCAACUCUGCGUAACUAGUAUUCAACUCUGUAUUGCUACAACUGAAGCUAUUUCUUUUUACCGACCGGUUUAAAUGAAAUUGAGAUUUUAUUUAGUUAUACUGGUACCAUGCGGGUGCUUAAUCUCAUUUGUUUUUGGUUAGCUACAUACUGAAUUAACAUCGAUUGAAAAACUAAAUCAAAAGUUUUUCUGGUUCACAUGUUCCUAUUGUUUUACUCCUAGUAGGGUUUCACUUUUCGGUUUUGAAUAAUUUUCCUUGUUGUUUAUGUAUUAGGUUUCAAACUUGUUUUAUACUUUUGAUUUUUGAGGUUUGCUUAAAGAAAGCAAUCAACAACUUUGAAUGGAAAAAGAGAAUGUCAUCGAUAUUUAGGACAUAUGAUGAGAAUUACGUGGAUGAAAUACUCCACAAAACCGAAUCACAUAGGUCCACAUGAUAAGUACUUCACGAAAUGGAAAAGCUAUGUUAUUGAUUUGAGCUUAGAUUUUAGUAAAUAAUAUUUAUGUGAUGUACUAGAAAUUGGAUUGUGCAGAAGAAAUUUCACAAAAUUCAAUUCACCGCAAGUUGUCACAGUAGGAAGUUAUGUAUUUAUUUCAAUAUGAUGCAAUCAUAAUAACCUCUGAAAUUGGCACUAAACUUGCAUUGAGACUAUUUAAGUGUCCAAUCCAGAUUAUUCUUGGUCCAGAUGAUAAGAAAACUUGCAUUGAGACUAUUUAAGUGUCCAAUCCAGAUUAUUCUUGGUCCAGAUGAUAAGGGUGGGCAUUUCAGUUGAAAUUCGGAUUUUAUUUGAGUUCGAUUUGGUUUGGUUGAUUCAGUUCUAAUAAAAUUUUAACUGAAAUCAACUGAAAUUAGUUUGGUUUGUGUUCGGCUUAAGUUUGGUUUGGUUUGAGUGUAGUAUAAUUCAAUAGGUUUGGUUUUUAAUUUGGUUAAUUUUUUUUUAUAAAACAUAAUAUAAAUCAUCAUUUGAUGAUCACAAAUUCAUUCACUUCUUCAUUUUCAAUAGAAGAUUUAAUCCAAUAAUUUGAAUCAUUAUUUUCAAACAUAGGAAUCAAUGCUUUUGAUAAUGUAGAAAAAUCAUGUUUCUUAUUGUCGUGAAACAAGCAUGUUUAAUCAAUGCUUUAAUUGUUUAUACUGAAUUAUUAACUAUCUUAAAUUUUAGUGUUGUUAGUACAUAUAGUUUUCUCGGUCGACAGUUGUGCAUAUAGUUAACCUAAUCAAACACACUUUGAGUUUUCAGUUCGUUUUUAAACCAAACUAAACCAUUUGUAUUGAUAAAAAUGUUAACCAAAUGGUUGAGAUAUAUACGUCAAUUUAGUUUAGAUCAAUUUGAUUUUGAUUGUUUUGGUUUGGCUUUGAUUGUUAUCUAAAGAUUAUCAUUAACAAUCAUUUUGAUUAGUUUGGUUUGGUUUUCUUUGUCAAAGCAUUUUCAGUGGUUUUUAACUCUUUUAUACUUUGUUUGAUUGUUAUCUAAAGAUUAUCAAAGUGUGAUCACACAUCAUAUGAUUAUACUUGGCAAUUCAUGUUUGAUCCUUUUUUUAAUCCAAAGAGCUGGUAGUUAAACAGGAUAGCUAGAAUCGAAGGAAAAAACGAACGAGAAAGUUAUACAAUCAAUCCAAAAUAAACCAAGCCAAAAGUAUAAAAUCUCAGACAAAAUCAAAAACAGUUUGAGCACACUGAUUAAGAUAAGCAAUGAAAGAAAACGGAGAGAGAAUUACUCAGAUCCCCUUUCUACCGGCAAUGGCUCCCACGCUUAGCAGGGUUCUUCUGACGUCCUUGAUCUUCUUCAAACCUGUAACCAAUCUGCCAAUUAUACUCGCUAAUGUCCACCUAGACUAAACCAUUAAAUAUAAUUAUAUUAGUUAGCUAUUAAAUAUCUAAAAACCAGCAAAGUAUUUAUAACCAAUUUACCUUUUUCCUCUUUAUCCUUUGGUUCCUCAAAGUCAAAAGAUGGGUCUUUGUAGUGCAUCUCCACGAAUAGAAUCCAGUAAGGAGGCUUGAAGGCUUUCUAGGGCAAACCCGAUGACACUCAUUGUCAUCAGCCGUCUCUUUACCCAUAAUCAUUAUCAUGACAUUUGCAGCUAUGGCAAUAAAACCUUGGAACCCUUCCACUCCUCCUAAAUCAUUUCCGUUGCUGCUUUUACAGAGAAUAAUGGGUUUUCCAUCGAUCAUCCUCAGCUCACACAUAAUGACUGCAUGUAAUCCUUCAAUUUCAGCAUCUUCUUUCAUUGGCCCUCUGUAUAUACCAGGCCUAUCCCAGCCUUUAAAUCCGUAAAGUGUUGCACCAACUGGGUGCGUUCUAAGCCUAACAAGAGCUUGGUCUAACGUUUCAUACACAUAACGUUUUAUUUUUUUGUGUUUCCUAGUCAAUGGGUUCACCACAAUCGUUACACUUUGCUUUAGCUGAAAAUCUUCUAAUCUUUUUAUUAUUAUUUGAGAAACAUUGUAAAUAAAUAACCUUUACCUUAUGUGUUAUUUACAUGAGUUCCAUUUCUUAUGUGGCAGCACCACAAACUCUCUCACAUCUUAAAUUUAAAAACCCUUUAUUAACUAGAUUAAUUACAAAAAUUGCCAUUGACCAAUAUUACAUUAUAAAUCCAUUAAUAAACUAUAAGUUUCUUUGUUAUUUCCUAACCAAACAAAUAAAACCAGCCACGUUUAAUGCUAAUACAUUAUUCAUUCCUAUAUCGAAGAGCAAAUAUUAUGCGAUCUCGAUAGUUAUCAAUCUUUUGGAUACACUUCACGUUAUAGUGAUAGCAUUAAAAUGUGAUCUCGAGAGUUAUUAUUAACAUGUUGUGUUAUAAAAUGUGUAAAAAUUAUAUAAUGCAUUCACACAUAUAUCAUAUUGUAUAAGAACUUUGAAUACCGGUAAUUUAAUAUAUUUUCAUGUACAAUCACAUAUCAUAUAAUAAGAUCUGGUUAUCUUUUUAAAUCCUUGGAGAGCUCCUAGAACCAUAUAAUGCAUUACUUGAAAGUGUAAAAAAAAAUAUAAUGCAUUACUAUGAAAACCAUAUGAACGUAGCUUUGUAAAGCAAAUAUACCACUUUGUCUUUUUGAUAUAUGUAUGACUAUGACAAGCUAAAUUAGUGAACCAUACGACAUUUAUAUGUUUUCUUGUUUGUAUGAGUCCAAAUUUUUAGAUCUGUAACUAUAAUGUCGUCUUUAUAUCAAGUUGAAAAUAAUAAAAACAAUACUACCACAAAUGUUUAAUUUGACACAUUCAGAAUGAAUAUAGCCUACCAAAUUCAAACUUAUCUCAAUCAAUCAAUAUUAAAGUUAUUUGUUUACUCUAUAUGGCAUUAAAUAAAAUGUAGCAAGCAAGGCCAAAUGAUAUCGUGAUUGUUAAAAUAAUCAUUUUUAAUAACUUUGUUAUAUUUUUCUGUUAUGAUUUUAGUAACCAAAUCGUGUUUAAAAGCCUAAUAAUAUGCGGUGAUUAAUUGGCUUAAUUUCGGUUCAUUACUAAGGAGGUGAUUAUGGGUAGUUUUCUUUAUCAAAAAGUGUGAUUGUUUUAUAUAAGAAAUUUAGAUUAUGGAUUCAAUAUUUGUAAAUCAAUUAAUACUCGACUAUAUUCCAUUUAAAAAAAUUUGUAGAGAAAUUUUAGGAAGUUUCGUUAUCGUGUCUAACAAAUUUAGAUUAGUCUUAGUAUACACCUUCUCGCCCAAGUUUUUUCAAUUAAAUAGGUUACAAAUUUAGGUUAGUCUUACUACUAUUUGUGUUUUAAACUGAUGCAUUUUUACUGGUUUUUCAAUAGGGUAAUACCAUCCAAGCCACAUUCUUCAGAGAUUUGGAUGCAUCAACUGAAAUGCCAUUGGAGGAAACUCAUUGCUAUGAAAUUAAAAAUUGCAUACUAACAACUCCAUCAGAGAGUCUUCGGUUGACAAAGAAACGAUAUCAUAUCAAACUCAAUAAGACCUCUAUCAUUGCGAUGAUCGAUCCAUUUCUCAAGUCCAACUAUUAUUGUUUUCCAAAGUUUGACAACCUCUAUCGUGGAUUCUACCAUCCUAAAUUUUCUAUUGAUAUGUUUAUAUCUGAUCUUCUUCUCUUUAAUAGUCAAGUUUAAUUAUAGCCGUAGUCGGCAAUAUUUUGAGUGUGAUUGUCUAAAGUUUUUUUUUCUUUUGUAAAGGGUUGUAGUAGGAGUAGGAUUUCUUGAAGAAUAUAUGACAGAACCUACCAUCUAGAACAAUGGUUUCAUUAACCAUAAGAUCCUUUCUUUGUAGUAAACAUGGAAUAAGUAUUUCACAUCUGAACUUAAAAGUUACGCAUUUAAUUAGUUUUAAGUUUUUAAGUUAUGAUUUUUUUUCAUUCAUUACAGUAACAUUGUCAUUAAGUGUGUUGCUUAUGGAGCACUUUCUCAUGUUUUCCAACACUUAUGGAAUUCUACAAAUGCAAAUGUUGUAGUCUGUGUGUUACAAUUUUGGAAAAUUAAUUGGAGAGAAGUUAAUUUAUAGUAUUACUUUAUAAUAGAAAUUUGUUGGAGAUGAUAUCCCCUUAAUAUUUUGCUCACCUAUCUUUUAUUUCAUUCUAAGGUCGAUUAAAGCAUGUGACCAACAUUGAUGGGUUUUCCAGAAUUAUUUUUGAAUCCAAUGAUGCUCCAAAAAUUGGUGAUUUCAGAAAAAAGGUAUAUCAAUUAGUUUAGUGCAUUUGGUUAUCAGCUAUGUUUUGUUCGGUAAACUAAUUCUUAGUUAUUUUUCUUUAUAGUAUUGCAAAUCAUGAGUUCUGAUGAUCUUUUUCGUGGCAUUUUAGUUUUAUUAUGUUUUUUAAUAAAUUGUUUCUUGCGUAUUUUAAUUUUCUAUUAUUUAUUUUCCUUUUAAAAUUGUAAUCAUAAUUUUAAUUAUGAUAACAAUUAAUCUAUUUCAAAUGUUUUGUUUUGUAUUAAAUUCACAACAAGUUGAUUGAUAUUAUUGCAUAAUAUUAUAUAUUUAUACAUAAAAAAUCUAAUUGACACAUAACCAAUUACACAAGCUUUUUCAAUUAAACAAUUAAUCGUUUAUUAUAUAUAUAUUCACACUUUCGUUUGAUAUCAAACAAUUAGAUCUAAUUUCUUUUAUGCAUAUAACUUAGUUAUUCGUAAUAUCGUAAGAUUAAAAUAAAAAUCUCCAAUAGUCUGGGCGCGGGUUAUCACCUAGUGCUAAUGUAUAUUUCAACAUGUGUUUAUUGGGUGAUAUUAAAGACUUUGUUUCAGACUGAGUUUUGACUUUGCAGUUUGGUCUCAGCAUCAGGUGCUGGGUUGGCAAUAUCACUUGUGAGCGAAGGCUUGAAAGUAAAGCCUGCACACGCACUCUCCACCGCUGCUGUUUUCGCUGUUGUUUCAGGAACAAUCUAUAAGGUGAGUGAGACAAUCAAAUCGCACAAUGCCCAAGACGCCUUUUACACAGAGACAAGAGUUAUGCUAUCGAAGCUAGGCCUAGAGGAAUACGAGAAGAACUUCAAGAAGGGACAUCUCACUGAUCCCACUUUACCAUUUCUUACUGAUAGCGUCCUACAAGAAGUUAACAUUCCACCAGGGCCAAGGCUUCUGAUACUUGAUCAUAUCCAGAGGUACCAUAAGAUGGUAAACCGCAAGUGAGGAAAGCAGUCUAUUGGUGAUGACUUAGAAUCUUGGAGGUAGUCGUAGUUUCUAAUAAUCUGCAACUUUUAUUUUUAUUUUUCGUUAAAGUUAUUUUGGUUUAUAAUAAAAAUUAGAGACGGUUUUUGUUUAGUUAAAUUUGGACAGAAUAUGCGUGAAGCAUCUUCGUUAUGGUGUUUUCAAAUAGUUACAUAGUUUAAAACAAAAAUAAUAAAAUGUAAGAAAGAAAAAGAGAAACCUCAUUUGAGAAUUUCUAAAAUACUGACAAGAAUCAUGAAUGUUAUUUAUUUCUUACCUAGUAGUUUAUUUUCUCUUCUUCUUGAAUCUAUUUAUAUAGCAAACUUAUUAUUUUAAAAUAUUAAUAUAUAUCAUGUUUGAGAUAAUCUUACAGUUUUUACUAUUGAAGAUGUCAUUAGGGUAAAUUUCAUGAAUAUCAGUCCAAAAGAAUUUGCGACAAAACCUUGUUUUGGAAAUUUUAGGCAUAUUUGAAAGUAUUUUAUGUCUUUCACGUAAGAGUUACAUGCACACAUCACGAAUUCAUCUUUUUUUUUAUCUAAAAGUUUUUAUUCAAUAUUAUCCGUCAAAGAUAAAAAUUGAUAUGAUACAUGGCAUAAGAAAAAACUAAAACAAGUUCUUGAAAAACAAUCUAACCCUUUAGAAAAUAUGAUCUGAUAAAAUCAAUGAUGAAAUCCAGACUAAAAUUUGGUUGGAUGUUGCCAAUACAUUAAUAUCAGAAUAACCUUGUUCGGUGUUCAUUAACAAUCGAAGUGUUUUACCGCAUAUCACAAUAGGUUUUGAUUACUUUCAUUGUUCUCCACAUGAAGAUAAAUCUUUUUCUUUGGUUAAAUCUGUUCCAAAAAUAAAUUCCUUCAGAAAAUUUUGCUUUGAAAUCCGUCGAACAAUUUGUGGUAACCAUAAUAACAAAGAUCGGAGUAAAACAAAUAUAUCUCCGACCACAAAUACAGGCGAAAAACAAAAAAAAAUAUCUCUCGAAACUUUGAAAAAAAAAAAAAAAGAAUGAAAUCAUAAUAU